This is a long non-coding RNA of Parus major (Great Tit), 2604 nucleotides long. RefSeq lists it as uncharacterized. NCBI's taxonomy places the organism in Eukaryota, Metazoa, Chordata, Aves, Passeriformes, Paridae. The record is from RefSeq and is a predicted model, not a curated record. The transcript has 5 exons.
GUCACUCCAUUACUUUUUGUGUGGACAGAGGCUCAGUGAGGCUCAAGGGGUGAGGUGUCUCAUAAGAAUUAGAACAUCCUAGAGAUGCUUCCCCAGCUUCUUUCGGCACACCGUGCCCCCAUGUUUUUGCUUCCAAAGUGAUCUAACAUUAUUUACAAGUGUGUUGUUCUACAGGUCCCAUAACUUUUGGACUUGGAUCCUAGUAUGUGAACAGCCAAUAAUAUGGCCUAGAAACUGAAGUAGGGUCCAUAAGCUCCUGGGAACCUGCACAGGGAUGUAUGGGCACUGGGGAAUUUUACCCUUCAUGUUGUGAGCUGUUGAUAAUGGAUAAGAUCAGACAACUGUUGCUGGGAGGAGGGGAGAGGAAAGAUCAGCCUGGACCUGGAAUUCUGAGGACUUCUAUGCUUCUGUUACAUUUUUCAAGCUCUUCUACUUAACUAAUGCAGUAUUAGCAUAUUUAGAACUGAUGCUGAGUAAAACAGAAAUAUGGUAGAAGUCCACUAAAACCUUGCAAUUUUCGUUUCCUGAUUUGAGUCUAGUUUUGUUGCAGGAAGGAUCGCAUCACCCCAAGCUGCAGCAAUGAGUGCAAACAUGAGAUUUGUCUGCCUGGCCAAAUGUCCUCCCAUCCAUGCAUGGCUCUGGCUGCCCUGUGUGCUGAAGAGCACAGCCACCUGUGGCUUGUUUGGACAUCAAAAAUGCCAAGUGCCUGCCACAGAUGUUGCCAUCUGUCACUGCAGCUUGGAUUGAGGCAGCUUGGGCUGUAAGAGGCUGCCUCAGACCAGUCAAGAAUGCUGCUGGAAUUUUAGGACAUUUUACAUCAGUGCAUCUAUCACUGAGGCAGGAGGAGUGCUGAGGGUGCCUGGAAUACUCGUGUUGCUGUGGGGACGAGGACACAGAAGGAGCCACCUCAUUCCCACAAGGAAGCUAAUGUGUACAAUCACAGAUUAUUGGAGACCAUUUGCUGUAUUCUCAUAUGUAAUGUUUAACAGGAGGACUCAAGGGCAGCACGUUAGAUAAAGAGACCUGCAAGCUGUCAAUAACUUGUGAAAAUGAUUCCUCAUUUCUGAGAUACCUGCCAGGAUGCCUUCCUGAGGAUGAUGUGUCACCACUUGAAGACUGAUCUCACGAAGGGUAAAUCAAUUCUGAAGUGAGUCCUAGCGCUCCUUUUAACAAUUAGCAUUCCUGUUUCCCAUGGCUCUUCCUUUUCAAUAAGGUCUAAACACAUCAUUCCUGCAUAUUCCCUGCAGUAUUUUAAUAUCUCAAGACAGACAAAGGGAUCUCCAGAACUUUCUGAAUUGAUUCAGAACGAGGUAACAAUACACAUUUUAUCCCCAAAACAGCACACUAAAUGUAGGAUUUCCCAUUUCUGAGUGACCCUGGAGCAGGACUCGGUGCCUUGUUGCAUCCAUUUAACACCAGAUACCUGGAUGGACUCCAGGGCCACACGGUGGGGUUAUUUACCAUGUGUUGUACAGGUGCUGAGUCUAAACUAUCUGAUGAUCUUAAGCCCAGAAAAUCUCUUCCUCCACAUAAUCCUCGUGACCUUUCCCUCUGUCACUCAUUUAUCUGACUGGGACGAGGCUGGCAUGUGGCUGAUUUUAUGGAUGGCUCGCUGCAUGUCCUGGGAUCAGCCUUAAUGUGCUGUAAUUCUUUAUGCAGUCAUUAAAGCACGAUUAGAGACCUCAGUCUUGGGCUUUAUACGGUCAUUGGAGGAGUUUUACAGAGGUUAUUACCGUGUUGCUCUGUCUCAAACUACUCAGCAAGAGCGAGGCAGCAAUUACAAGAAAGGGCUACUUAGCAUCCAGCCUGUACACAGGGAGGUGGGGAGAGAGGUUUCACAGACAUAAUUCACCCAUCCACCAGAGCACAAUAAAACACCUUCUUUAUUUCUGAUUUUAUUGGUUCUGUCUGCUCUCAUCUGGUGCCUGAGCAUUUUAUCUGUUCAGGCUGCUUUUUUUCCAAUGCAGUAAAAAGAGCAGACAGGAUUUUGCCCUUUAUUUAAAAUGUUUUGCCACAUUUAGAGGUAAAUCACAGCCACUUUCCUGCGUUGUAUAUUUUCAGACUUAGUGGAGAGAGAAAUGUUUUGACAGCAAGCGCGCUCUACAGGGUCCAACCAUGGUCAGAGAGGAAAAGUCUCUUCCUACCACCCGACUUCUCUUUGCUCUGAUAGAAACCUGCCCCUCUCUCCACAUCUCUGGGGAUCAAGCACCCACAUUCCUUCAUGCAUAGUGAAGGAAAAAAAGGAGAGGAAAGAUCUGGCUCCCAGUCCCUCCACAAACAGAGUUUGCUCACUGAAUUCCUCAUGUAAAUGACUCAGAGAUCUUUACUUUCAAGCAGAUCUGUCUUUUCAGAAACAAGCUGACACUCUGGGCACCAAAACAGAUCACAGGAACUACAACAGAAAGCAGUGUUCUGCCAAAGCUGCAGGCAGGAGUCUGUCAGGGAGAAUGAUGGAGCCACAAGAGUGCUGUUCUAACAGGCAAAGGGGGAAGGAGGAAAGAGUGAAAAGUGUAAGAAACUGGAAGAGACUUGAAGGGACACGAUGCUGUUUAAUGGGGCAGAAACUGAGAGACAAGUGAGCUACAGUGUGGGGUGAUUUGCAUU